Molecule: ribosomal RNA, 301 nt
Filed under: uncultured Streptomyces sp.
Lineage: Bacteria; Bacillati; Actinomycetota; Actinomycetes; Kitasatosporales; Streptomycetaceae
Description: bacterial SSU rRNA
Rfam family: Bacterial small subunit ribosomal RNA
Source: RNAcentral
CAGCAGCCGCGGUAAUACGUAGGGUGCGAGCGUUGUCCGGAAUUAUUGGGCGUAAAGAGCUCGUAGGCGGCUUGUCGCGUCGGAUGUGAAAGCCCGGGGCUUAACCCCGGGUCUGCAUUCGAUACGGGCAGGCUAGAGUUCGGUAGGGGAGAUCGGAAUUCCUGGUGUAGCGGUGAAAUGCGCAGAUAUCAGGAGGAACACCGGUGGCGAAGGCGGAUCUCUGGGCCGAUACUGACGCUGAGGAGCGAAAGCGUGGGGAGCGAACAGGAUUAGAUACCCUGGUAGUCCACGCCGUAAACGG